This 394-nucleotide long non-coding RNA is filed under the name Ananas comosus (pineapple). Its description in RNAcentral is "long non-coding RNA (ACOM_LNC024253)". The record is from RNAcentral. Lineage: Eukaryota; Viridiplantae; Streptophyta; Magnoliopsida; Poales; Bromeliaceae.
GGGCACGUUAACAGACCGCCGAACGGACAGGGUUUUCCCUGUACCGCGGACAGAGUCUCCCCUGUACGUCCAAGGCGUUGCAAUCCAUACAAUGUACGAAGUUCCAACCAGGAACACAUUUCAUUAGAAGAUUGCAUAAGGAAGUAUCGAAAACAUAAAACAACUAAGUUAUUACAGCAUUCAACUUUAGAUGCCUUUUUACAACACAAUUACAUUUUUAAACUUUUACAUUCAACUUCCAAUAAUACAAUCUAGUUAUUACAUCACUUAAUACAAGUUUUGUACUUUGCCUUUAAACCCCUAAGCUAGACCACCAACUCGGGUAUAUCUACCUCUGGUCUCUGGGGUAGGGCGCUAUCUACGGAGCUACGCCCUUACCUUGCACCGCCGCGCC